This is a long non-coding RNA of Triticum dicoccoides, 3705 nucleotides long. RefSeq lists it as uncharacterized. NCBI's taxonomy places the organism in Eukaryota, Viridiplantae, Streptophyta, Magnoliopsida, Poales, Poaceae. The record is from RefSeq and is a predicted model, not a curated record. The transcript is spliced from 4 exons.
UGUCUACUUCCCUGAUCCAUUUCCCUCUCUUCUCGCCCUGUUCUUUCCCCAAAUCCGACGACGAGAGACAACCGUUGCCGCGACGCAGCCGAAGACGGGGGGCAGGGAAGGGGAAGGGCUGGAGCGCGGUGGGGACCCGCUUCUCGUCGCCGGCGUAGGUACGGUCGCCCGUUCGGCUGCUCCCUGCCCAACCAGAUCCAGCCCCAUCGUCGUUGUUCCCCGCCGUCGUCGACGGGAUGCGGCCGUCGUCUACUUCCUCUGCCCGAGGGAUGGAAACGUCGGCACUGGAGUCGUGGCCGUGGCGGGGAAGGCGAACCCAGCGCAGCUCUGCCAGUGGCUCAAGAGGAAGAUAAGCAAGGAUGUCAAGAUUUUCCGCCGUUGUCCAAACGGGCUGAGAAUUGUAAUAAGCAGGUAUGCAUCCCUCUUGUCUACUUGUACUGCAGAAUGAAGGACGAUGUGUGUAAUAUCCAAAUGAAUGCACGCUAUUACGAAGGGCUAGCCGUGUGGGGUUAAGGUGCUCGCCAGAGGCGACCUGCGUGGCUCUCGGCCUGCAUCCUCGCUGAACUCAACACCAACUAUCGCGCGCCCGCGAUGUAACUGCUGUUGCAACAACGACGGCCAACGGCUAUUGAACGACGAGGAUGCCCUUCGGGGGUUAUUGCAUGCAAAGCAAAGCAGUUGCUCGAUACUCACAGCCAAUAUAUCUCCGUGUAGAAGCAGAAGAAGCAGCACUUGAUUCAGGGAAAGGGCAAGGGAGAUAGUCAACAAGGUUUGCACAUGGGAGAGGAGAAGGAUUUCUUACCUUGGCGUUGCUUGGUAAGCUUCUCUUCUCUUCUUCCUGUUUUUCUGACCAAGAUCUCCUCACCUUGGCUGCUUUGCCAUGGCAGCUCUACAGGAUCUGGUUCAUGGCAUUGGAUCUGGUUUCUUUCAUGAGGAAGAAGCUGACGACCAGCAAGGGAGAGAGGGUGGGUGAGAGGGGCGUGGGGUGCGCUAGUAGUUUGAUGGGUAUCACGUGACAACGACGGGUGGUGAGAGGACUCUGUUAAUCUGCUUUUUUCUUUGUUUGCGCGUGGGAACAGGUGAGAACAGCUGGCGCGAAGGAUCUUUCCUUCCUGGGACCAGCGGACAAACGCUUAUUUUUUCUGGCCUGCCGCUCGCGAGCGCUAGCGAGCACCCUGCCGCUCGCUAGACGCGUCCAUAAUUUAAAUGCAGAUCUGGCCUAAACAUGAUAAAUGCUAAUGAAUAGCAAUAGUAGUCAGAGCAAGCUUCAGUUUACGCUAAAGCUUUCGAGUAGUCGGCAAGCUACGAGACAAGUGACUGUGCAGCGCUGGGAGAAAAAGAAAAGGAAACCUAGCCCCGCACGCUUCUUCGCCACUCUGUCAAUCCCCUCUUCGCUCGCCUCCUUCUCUCCCUGGUCCCUGCGCCGCCGGCUCAGCCGCCUCCUCUCCCGCUUUCCUCCUCCUAGCUCAGUCCUCGUCCAGAUCGGUGUCCAGCGCAGGAAGAUCGGGGUGGUGGCGGCGGCAUCUUCAGCGGCGUCGCCGGACGAGGUCCACGCGCCGGGGAGAUAUCUCCAAGGUCCCGCGCCACCACGUCCCCUCGCCGACGUUGGCCUCACCACAGAAGAGGUCUAGCCCGCCCGUGCCGCCGGUCAAGUUGUCUUUGGAGGUGAGGAUUGCCUGGAGCCCCACCCCUUCGUUCCCCUCCCCCUCCCCAAGCUCGAGCCUCCGCCGUCCCUCCCUCCCGUCGCCUUCCCCCUCUGAAUAAGGAGCAUGGGGCCCGCUGCUACGCCUGAGCCGCCACAAGGCCGUCGGUUGGUGGAGAUCCAGUGCCAACGAGCCACUCAUGUUGGUGUCCCAGGUCUCGGAGCCUCCGGAGUCGCCGUCGCUGUCAGGAGGGAAAAGGCGUCGCCGAUGAUGAUGUGGAGGAGGACAAGGUCGACGCCCCUCUGCCCUGCUGUGAAUCGGUGGCGACUACAGCGUGGGUGUGGUGAAGCGGCGGGCGGCGCGCGCGUCAGUGCCCCCACGCCCCGGACGGUGCGGACUGCGACUGCGCGUAGGGUACUCAAGCCGCUGGGCGGACUGCCUGCCUGAUUGUGUCAAGUGCUAUAAUUGACACAUAUAUCGGAGAAAGUGCGCUUUUAAUCAGAGAAAUGUUCGGCUAUGCACACGAUCACCAAGUAAGUUUUGCUCCGCCUUUCUUUUUUGCAAAGCUAAUUUGUAUUGAACCUAAUUCCCUUAUUAUAUGUUAGAAAUGUAUGUUAGCAAUGAUUAUGCAUCUACUGGUGUUGAGAUUCAAGCUGUGACUUUGAUAGUUCCCUUGACUCAGAUGUCAUGUCAUCUAAUUGUAUUCUGGUUCAACACUAGAAAAAAUUUAAGCUUUAGAUUUCAGUAUCAGUUUUUCCCGAGAAGAAGAAAUCAAACUGAUCUCCAUAUAUGUAAAAGUGCACUUCUGAGAUCUUUUAGCUUAUAUCACCAUUUAGUUUAUCUUUUAGCUUAUUAUUAAGUUGUCUUUGAUGGGUGAAUUUCAGCUACAUACACAACAUUGCAGUCAGAAUUUGAGUGGCGCUAAUAGAACUGUUGAGUGAUCGAUUUGAUUCUUUACAGAAUCAAAGCAUUGAGAUUCUUCUUUUAAUGCUUUAGAAUAUGAGUGCCUUCAAAAAAAUUAUCAUGCCAUUGUUACUUUGCAUCUCAUGUUGGUCAGUAAUUCAUGUAGUAGUGUAAGUUUUGCACAAUCAAAAUGCCUUUAAUUAGAAUGAUAAAAGCUUCACACCUUUGCUUCCGAAGUUUCGCUGAACUGAACUUCUGUAAAAUACAUAAACCAGAGCUUACUCUUAGAUAUUUAGUUUAGGUUAAAUUUGCUCGGAGUGAUUAAGAAUAUUGGCAUGCAAUAGUAAUCAAAGCGUACCAUUUUGGCAUGCAAUAAUAAUCAUAUUGGUAAAUGGUAUGUUUUUUUAUUGUUACUCUCACAUUUCAUGCGCAUGCUAGGUAUGUUGCCUUUCAAGUCCAGUGCAUCUCUCUAGGCAAUUAUAUGUUGUUCUGUGUUCGAUCAACUUGCAUCAGUCUCAGCUCCUCGGUGUGUGAAAGGGGAAGUGUAGAAGUAGUGGGGAGUGCAGCUGACUAAAAUCCAUGUAGCAUUUGUGUUGGGUACAUCAAAAUGAAGAUCAGGAGAAUUCCGAUGAUUCUGAUGUGGAAAUGGAUGAUGCCAUGCCUCUGGAGUACUCUGAAAGGUGCUCUUUUAUAUUUGGUUCCUUAGUCGUGGUGGCAUCAUGAGGUUCCUUUCUUGGGCCAAACUGAAGCACUUAAUUCUACUUUGUAUUUCCUUUUGAAUUAAUUGUUAUAUAUCCUUGUUAGACGUAUAAUUGACUAUGAUGGUUCUGAACUCAAAUACCAUAGUAUAUGUACUUUGAUUGAUGUGCUACUAAUAGAUCCUAAUGAUUUCAAAUAAUACAACAUACGCCCAUAUUGAUGUGUACAUAAGUGAUACUGAUGACCAAACAUGACAGCCGAAAGUGCCCAGACAAGAUAAGUGCGCAUAGGCCCGCCUCAGGUGGCGCCCCAGCCUCUAGUAUCACUAGGAAGACGAAGCAGAAGGAAAUCCAUGCAGGCGACAACCCAAUGCGGCGGGCAGCGGCUCGUCGCUCCCCCAGUCUGUUGUCCGGUGACCAAGGUGGACCGAUGUAGGUCCAACCGCCACAUCACACGAAGA